GUGGGGAAUAUUGGGCAAUGGGCGCAAGCCUGACCCAGCGACGCCGCGUGGGGGAAGAAGUCUUUCGGGAUGUAAACCCUUGUUGUACGGGACGAAACGAAUGACGGUACCGUACGAGGAAGCCCCGGCAAACUACGUGCCAGCAGCCGCGGUAAUACGUAGGGGGCGAGCGUUGUCCGGAAUUACUGGGCGUAAAGCGCACGUAGGCGGGCUGUCAAGUCGGCCGUGAAAGGCACUGGCUCAGCCGGUGUUUGUCGGUCGAUACUGGCGGUCUGGAGUAUGGGAGAGGGAACUGGAAUUCCCGGUGUAGCGGGGAAAUGCGUAGAUAUCGGGAGGAACACCAGUGGCGAAGGCGGGUUCCUGGCCCAUUACUGACGCUGAGGUGCGAAAGCCGGGGGAGCGAACGGGAUUAGAAACCCGGGUAGUCC
Molecule: ribosomal RNA, 428 nt
Filed under: uncultured bacterium
Lineage: Bacteria
Description: partial 16S ribosomal RNA
Rfam family: Bacterial small subunit ribosomal RNA
Source: RNAcentral